GACGAUUACGAUUACCUCCAAACCUGAAAUAUUAUUUGCAUAUUAUUGGUAAAAUAAAAGGGAUGAUACUAGAAAAAACAAAACAAAACAAAAACUUAAAUAUCACAAUUUAACAAUUUAAAAAUAAUGACUUAAGAUACUCUUGUCCGCCGUUUUAAAAUAUCAGCACCAUGAAAUACAGUAGUAUUACAGUUCUAAAACUUACCAAUGUUGUUUUUCUAAAAAAAAAAAAAAAAAAAACCCAGAAACUAAAUACUUUUACAUGAUAGUUAAAGUAAAACCAUUAUUCACUAAGAGUUUUAUCUGUAUUUCUACUGCAAACAGGGGGUGCAAAGCUUCAACAGUUAAUUAUUAAACUAAAAUUUUAGAUCUAUAAAGGUUAAUCAAGUCAAACCGUCUCGAUACUCAAUACGGCUGAUAGGCUGCUCAAUAAUACCGAUCUGGAUUUGUUUUCUAUAGUUGACAAUCGCAGACGGCAUCGGCACGGCCUGGAUUCAGCGGACAGAGGUACUAAUAAAAUUCUACGAUCUUGCGCAAUAAUAUUUUCUAACCCUUUCUUGUCGAAUUUUCC
Non-coding RNA from Biomphalaria pfeifferi, 571 nucleotides. The record is from the annotation of a GenBank genome assembly. Lineage: Eukaryota; Metazoa; Mollusca; Gastropoda; Planorbidae.